CUUUUCCCCCUCACAAAACCUUUUGUUAGGAGGUAGCAAAGCACGUCUCCAGGCUGGUAGCUAGUUGUUCUGCAUCAUUUUGAGGUUAGGAGCCCAGUGGUGAAGUGAGGGAGGAAGGCAGGUUCCUCGGUGCGUGUGUGCAAGGUGAGAUUUCCCCUGGGAAGCGUGGCUGUGCGUGCAUCUGCUGGCAUUUCUGUCCGUAACAGAGCUCUGUUACUUUGUGUGCGAGGGAUGCUGGUGCUCCAGGCUCUGGCACUGUCCUGAGGGAAGGUCUCCUAAGCUCCUCGCCUGAAUUCAGCUGCCUAAGGGGUGGUUUGGAGGCGCUGCCCCAUCUCUGGCUGUGCUCAGCCCUUGCACGGAUCCAGCCGAGGCCUCCCGACCAGGUAUGAUCCAACCAGCUGGGGCUUGUGAACCGGGUGCCUCCAAACACAAGUUUUCAUUUAUUUAUUUAUUUAUUUAUUUAUUUUUUGCAGCUGGAUGCAAAACGUUGAAUACUAAAAUAAAAAAUAACAUUGCUCCUGGGAAAUCCUGCUACAACGACCCCCCCUCGCCUUCUUGCACCACCUCGGCUCCGUUCCCUGUUGUGCACGCCAAGCAAAUUGAGGAGAAAAGAAAUGCGCUUUGGCUCUAGGAGGAUUUGGAGAUGACAGUCCCCAUUCGCCUGGUGCGCUGGGAAAACCCACGGUGCAGCUCCCUGCUGGGGGCUGCUCAGCUCCGGCGCGAGCAACCGGUGGCUCUAAUUUCCCUUCCUGCCCUCCGAGGCUGAAUAGCAUUUCAUAAAAAUAACAGAAGAGACAACGAGACUCUCUCUGGGAAAAGAAAUAAUCCUGGGGAAAACAAAAGGGGUGCUGAAGGAGAUUUUCUGGAGAAAUGGGGCUUGGCGAGGGGCUCCCCUGCGAAUUGAUUUCCCUGCUCGGUGCCACCUUGCACAGGCCAUUUCACAAGCACCAGGAGGCUUCGGUGCUCCUGGUUUUCUCAAGCGUUUCCCAAGGUUUCUCUCUUCCAGCCUUGUUUUUUGAGAGGUUGAGGGUUGCUUUGUUUCUGUCGCUAGUUUUUGAGCCCAGCUCCUAACCUUCCUCCUGCCACGAGCAGCCCUUCCCUGCGUUUUGGCUGCAGAGCGCGUGGUUUUUCUCAAAGCGAAGCUUUUAUUUUUACCUGCAAAUCCUCCUGUAGGAAAGCAGAGCACGUGCAGGCUGCCGACGCAACCCCAGUGCCUCGUAACCCCAAAGCUGAGGGUAGGAAGUCAUCGCUGCCCGCUCGGGCGAUGCUGGUGGAUGCAUCCCCUGUGGAGGGAACGGUUUGCAUCGUGCAGCAACUUCCUUCGGAGCAGGACAGAGAUUAACAGCUCCUUUCUGCUGGGCUCAG
RNAcentral lists this long non-coding RNA (1365 nucleotides) under Anser brachyrhynchus (Pink-footed goose). Its description in RNAcentral is "lncRNA (ENSABRG00000013266.1)". The record is from RNAcentral. Lineage: Eukaryota; Metazoa; Chordata; Aves; Anseriformes; Anatidae.